This 510-nucleotide ribosomal RNA is filed under the name uncultured bacterium. RNAcentral describes it as "bacterial SSU rRNA". It matches the Rfam family "Bacterial small subunit ribosomal RNA", at positions 36 to 518 of the family's 1533-position model. The record is from RNAcentral.
CUGGCGGCGUGCCUAAUACAUGCAAGUCGAACGGUCUUUCUAUGGAAGCUUGCUUCCACUGAGAAGAUAGUGGCGAACGGGUGAGUAACACGUGGGUAACCUGCCCAUAAGAGGGGGGAUAACAUCCGGAAACGGGUGCUAAUACCGCAUAGUUUUCUUGAUCGCAUGAUUGAGAAAGGAAAGACGGCCUUUGUGCUGUCGCUUAUGGAUGGACCCGCGGCGUAUUAGUUAGUUGGUGAGGUAACGGCUCACCAAGACGAUGAUACGUAGCCGACCUGAGAGGGUGAUCGGCCACAUUGGGACUGAGACACGGCCCAAACUCCUACGGGAGGCAGCAGUAGGGAAUCUUCCGCAAUGGACGAAAGUCUGACGGAGCAACGCCGCGUGAGUGAAGAAAGGUUUUCGGAUCGUAAAACUCUGUUGUCAGAGAAGAACAAGUUGGAGAGUAACUGCUCCAGCCUUGACGGUAUCUGACCAGAAAGCCACGGCUAACUACGUGCCAGCCGCUGC